RNAcentral lists this ribosomal RNA (253 nucleotides) under uncultured bacterium. RNAcentral's name for it is "partial 16S ribosomal RNA". It matches the Rfam family "Bacterial small subunit ribosomal RNA", at positions 524 to 776 of the family's 1533-position model. The record is from RNAcentral.
UACGGAGGAUCCGAGCGUUAUCCGGAUUUAUUGGGUUUAAAGGGUGCGUAGGCGGCGCGCUAAGUCAGUGGUGAAAGACGGUGGCUCAACCAUCGCAGUGCCGUUGAUACUGGCGCGCUUGAAUGCGGAUGAGGUAGGCGGAAUGUGGCAAGUAGCGGUGAAAUGCAUAGAUAUGCCACAGAACACCGAUUGCGAAGGCAGCUUACCAAGGCGAUAUUGACGCUGAUGCACGAAAGCGUGGGGAUCGAACAGG